RNAcentral lists this ribosomal RNA (334 nucleotides) under uncultured fungus. Its description in RNAcentral is "SSU rRNA". It matches the Rfam family "Eukaryotic small subunit ribosomal RNA", at positions 1471 to 1809 of the family's 1831-position model. Lineage: Eukaryota; Fungi. The record is from RNAcentral.
UAAUAUAUUAUCCGGAGACGCGCUCUACACUGAUGAGAUAAGCGAGUUCACUCCUAGGCCGGAAGGUCUGGGUAAUCUUGUGAAACUUCAUCGUGCUGGGGAUAGAGCAUUGCAAUUAUUGCUCUUCAACGAGGAAUUCCUAGUAAGCGCAAGUCAUCAGCUUGCGUUGAUUACGUCCCUGCCCUUUGUACACACCGCCCGUCGUUACUACCGAUUGAAUGACUUAGUGAGGACUCGGGAUUGGCGACUAGACUGGCAACAGAACUAGUCACUGAGAACUUGUUCAAACUUGGUCAUUUAGAGGAAGUACAAGUCGUAACAAGGUAUCCGUAGG